CCCAGACUCCUACGGGAGGCAGCAGUGGGGAAUAUUGCACAAUGGGCGAAAGCCUGAUGCAGCGACGCCGCGUGAGUGAAGAAGUAUUUCGGUAUGUAAAGCUCUAUCAGCAGGGAAGAAAAUGACGGUACCUGACUAAGAAGCCCCGGCUAACUACGUGCCAGCAGCCGCGGUAAUACGUAGGGGGCAAGCGUUAUCCGGAUUUACUGGGCGUAAAGGGAGCGUAGACGGCGAAGCAAGUCUGAAGUGAAAACCCGGGGCUCAACCCUGGGACUGCUUUGGAAACUGUUUUGCUAGAGUGUCGGAGAGGUAGGUGGAAUUCCUAGUGUAGCGGUGAAAUGCGUAGAUAUUAGGAGGAACACCAGUGGCGAAGGCGGCUUACUGGACGAUAACUGACGUUGAGGCUCGAAAGCGUGGGGAGCAAACAGGAUUAGAUACCCUUGUA
RNAcentral lists this ribosomal RNA (445 nucleotides) under uncultured bacterium. RNAcentral describes it as "bacterial SSU rRNA". It matches the Rfam family "Bacterial small subunit ribosomal RNA", at positions 330 to 792 of the family's 1533-position model. The record is from RNAcentral.